AGACGCAGCCGAGUAUCUUGAGGAGAAGGACUUUAAAGCGUUCAGGGAUUUUAGCUGCCGCUGUGGAGUUCCGCCGCUGUUCUUCCGCUGGAGGGCGCAGUAGUUCCUUAAGAGGGAAUGGUGCGGCGAAUAGCUAGUUUUGCUCUUGUUGCCCAGGCUGGAGUGCAAUGGCGCGAUCUCGGCUCACCGCAACCUCUGCUUCCCAGGUUCAAGCGAUUCUCCUGCCUCAGCCUCCUGAGUAGCUGGGAUUACAGGCAUGUGCCACCAAGCCCAGGUAAUUUUGUAUUUUUAGUAGAGAUGGGGCUUCUCCAUGUUAGUCAGGCUGGUCUUGAACUCCCAGUCUCAAGUGAUCUGCCUGCCUUGGCCUCCCAAAGUGCUGGGAUUACAGGGGUGAGCCACUGCGCCCGGCCAAAGUCUGGGCUUUUAGUGUAUCUGUCACCUGAAUAAUGUGUACAUUGUACCCAUUAAGUAAUUUCUCAACCCUCAACCCCUCCCACCAUUCUGAAGCUCCGUCAUUCCACACUCUAUGUAUAGGUGUACACAUUAUUUAGCUCCCACUUGUAAGUGAGAAUAUGUGUUAUUUGACUUUCUGUGUGUGAGUUGUUUUACUUAAGAUAAUGGCCUCCAGCUCCAUCCACAUUGCUGCAAAAGACAUGAUUUCAUUUGUUUUUAUGGCUGAAUAGUAUCCCGUUGAGUAUAUAUACCACAUUUUCUUUAUCCAAUUAUGGUUGAUGGAUACUUAGGUUGAUUCCAUAUGUUUGAUAUUGUGAAUAGUGCUGAGAUAAUCAUAUGAGUGCAGGUGUCCUUUUGAUAUAAUGAUUUAUGUUCCCUUGGGUAGGUACCCAGUAGCGGGAUUACUGGAUAGAAUGGUAGUUAUUUUUAGUUUUUUGAGAAAUCUCCAUACUGUUUUCCAUAGAGGUUGUAGUAAUUUACAUUCUCACCAAUGGUUUUUAACCUAUUGGAUUACUGACAUUUAAAUAAAUAAUAGCAUGUUAAUAUCCAGUGAGGCUUCAGAAUAUUAACUGAGUAUUCAUAGGCAAAUUACUCACCCUCUGUGCCUCAUUUUCUUCAUCUAUGAAAAUGGAAUAAUGACAGUACCAACUUCAUAAGAUUAUGACAAUUAAAUAAGUUCAUGUAUGUAAAAUACAUAGAACAGUAUGGUACAUGCAAAUGUUACAUAAUUACUUGUUUUAUUAGUUAUUAGCCAAAGGUAUUGGUGUGUAUAUCAGACCCUGGAGAGGGAGGAGGUUUACAGUGGAGAGACAGAAACACUGCAAAAGUGCAUCUGACCAUCAUUUCUUUCCCAACUCCUCCUUGCUAAUUCCAUUUUCGGGCACCUCUUCCUUUUCCCUUGGCCUCCCCAGAAACUCAAUUCCCCUCAAUUUUGUUACACAAGCAACUGACUUCUCUACCCCCUAUUCAACCCCAGGCCUUCUUUGCAGAGCUAGCUUUGUGACUGUGCCCUGCUAUCCUGUGAGCAUUUUCCCCAGAUCCAACCCCUCAGGACCACUUCGAGCUCUCUUUUCCUUUUGCCUCCCCCAAUAGCUUCUGGGAAGAGCAGGGAAUAAGAUAGAGAUUUAUUUCCCCACCAAACAGAAUUUUGUCAUCUCUCUUAGAAGAAGAAGAAGCAACAAUCAAUUCUUACGUUAAAUGGCAAUUUUAAUUAUUUUGACUCAUAAACAUUUUAAAAACAUAUUUUAACCACAGUUAAAAAUACAUAUUUUAAACAUAUUUAAACAUAUCCUCCAUAUUAUGAAAUUUCAGUGGUGCGUUACCUAGGUCUUGAUGUUUUAAUGAGUGAAGUCUGUGAAAAUGAGGUUCUAAAUGCUAAUCAGGGUUUCCUAAUUCUGAGAAAGAAGUCAGGAAGGAUGUCGUUAGCUCAUCUGACCACAAAUGUAACACUGAUUCUGCCUAGGAGAGGAAGAAAAUAAAGCAAAACGUGAGCAGUGCUGCUUUCUCAGCCUCAAUUAACACGAGAACACCAUCUCCUCCACUCUCUCCCAAGGACCUGACAAGACAGGCAGAAGCCCUUGUUCUUGAACAAUUCAGAGGGUUGGUAGGAAGGUCUCCAGGGAGAUACUGGACCUCCUGCCACUAACUGCAGUUGGGCUCUCAAGUGAUUAAUGGAAAAAUAAAAGAUGAGACUAUAUUUAUAUCCCAAACUGUGGAGUAUGCCAUACCAGUGACACCUGAUUAUACGGCUAAGUGUUCCAAAAUUCAUCAGCCUGAGACUACAGAAUCAGGUUACAUUUUCUCUUUUUUUUUUUUUUUUUUUUUGGGACAGAGUCUUGUUCUGUCUCCCAGUCUGGAUGGAGUGCAGUGGCGCCAUCUUGGCUCACUGCAACCUCUGCCUCCUGGGUUCAAGCCAUUCUCUUGCCUCAGCCUCCCAAGUAGCUGGGAUUACAGGCAUGAGCCACCACGUCAGGCUAAUUUUUAUGUUUUUUUUUUUUUUUUAGUAGAGACAGGGUUUCACUGUGUUGGCCAGGCUGGUCUCGAACUCCUGACCUCAAGCGAUCCACCCACCUAGGCCUCCCAAAGUGUUGGGAUUACAGGCGUGAGUCACUGUCCCCAGCCACAUUUUCUUUUCUUUUUUUUUGAGACGGAGUCUUGCUCUGUCACCCAGGCUGGAGUGCAGUGGUGCAAUCUUGACUCACUGCAACCUCUGCCUCCCAGGUUCAAGCAAUUCUCCUGCCUCAGCCUCCCAGGUAGCUGGGACUACAGGCGCGUGCCACCACGCCCAGCUAAUUUUUUGUAUUUUUAGUAGAGAUGAGGUUUCACCGUAUUAGCCAGGAUGGUCUCGAUCUCCUGACUUCGUGACCACCCGCCUUGGCAUCCCAAAGUGCCUGCAUUAAAGGCAUGAGCCACCAUGCCCGGCCGACAUUUUCUUUAAUAUACAAAUUUCAAUGAUUCCAAUCGUCUUCUCUGGAAUAUGACAAGCUAAUUCUUUUUUUUUUUUUUUUUGAGUCAAAGUCUCGCUCUGUCACACAGGCUGGAGUGCAAUGGCGCAAUCUUGGCUCACUACAACCUCUGCCUCCCAGGUUCAAGCGAUUCUCCUGCUUCAGCCUCCUGAGUGGCUGGGAUUACAGGCACACACCACCACACUCGACUAAUUUUUUGUAUUUUUAGUAGAGACGGGCUUUUGCCAUGUUGCCCAGGCGGGUCUCAAACUCCUGAGCUCAGGCAAUCAACCCGCCUGGGCCUCCCAAAGUGCUAGGAUUAUAGGUGUGAGCCACCGCGCCCGGCCUGAGAGGCUAAUUCUUAUUAUUAGACUUCCCUUUACUUAAUUGUUUGUUUGUUUGUGGCAGGAAUACUGGGAGAAAGUCAAUAUGACCCUGGCAUUUGCAGGUGUCCUCCCCAAGUACAUUUGCCACCCUUGCUGUGCUCCAUAGCUCUCAGGUCACCUGAUGCCAUCUAGGGACUGACUUCUCCCUGACUGCUGUUGCUUUCUCCCCGAGAUGUGGUUCCCCAAGCCUGGACACAGGCUCUACCCUUUACUCCCCAAAGAAUACCUAAAACCAACAAGUAGGUGCCAGGAAAAAAAAGCCUGACAGAAGUUUUGAGGAUCACAGAAGGGAAUGACACUAAAAUUGAGGAAAAUCUAAACACAAGGGGAUGUCCCAUUGCUCUUUGAAUCUGUUAGCCCACACCCUCCCUAGGGUACCUUCUACCAGGGCUGGCUUCAUGGGCCUGUGACCUAUGCCAUCACACAGGUCCCCAGUCUUAGAAGGGGCUUCAUGCUUAGUGUUCUGCUGUCAUCAUCUUGAAAUUCUUAAUAAUUUUUGAAUAAAAGAUAUCCUGAAUUUUCAUUCUACACUUAGCCCUGCAAAUUAUGUAAGUGAUUCAUGCCUUCUAGUAACCAUUCUUCUCUUUAACCCCCUACCUGCCUGUAUGUGCAGAGACCAGUCCCACAUCUUGCCAACAAAAGCGCCCAUGAUUAUAGUCAACUCAGGCACACUAUUGCUCCAGAGAUGCAAAAAACCUUGCUCACGAUGAAGACUUAGGAGUGACGAAAUUGUCCUUCAAGUACCAUAACCACAAGGUAGUGAUACGAACAGAUAACCAGCAUAUAUUUGGGGUAAUAUUGGCAAAAUUAUCCAAAUGUGGUAGAUUCAGAUAUUUGGUCCCAUGUAGACCAAAAACGAAGCAAAUAAAAUUUUAUUUAAAGAUGUUUGUUUUGGUUAAAGGGCUUGGCCUCACUUAGAUGGACUCACCCUAUACAUGAGGGUGCUUGGGGGAGAGGCUAGAGUGUUUCAUGACACAAAAACAUUCUAUUUGUUUUAUUAUUAUUAUUAUUAUUAUUAUUUGAGAUGGAGUCUCGCACUGUCGAGCCCAGGCUGGAGUGCAGUGGUGGGAUCUCGGCUCACUGCAACCUCCACCUCCUGGGUUCAAGCGAUUCUCCUGCCUCAGCCUCCCGAGUAGAUGGGAUUACAGGCACCCGCCCCCACGUCCGGCAAAUUUUUUGUAUUUUUAGUAGAGACUGGGUUUCACUAUGUUGGUCAGGCUGGUCUCGAACUCCUGACCUCAGGUAGUCCACCUGCCUCGGCCUUCCAAAGUGCUGGGAUUACAGGCAUGAGCCAUCGUGCUGAGCUGACACGAAAACAUUCUGAAGAAUUUGGCUAUGGCACUGAUCUCCAGCCCACCUGCACUCUCAUCUCCACCCCCAAUUCUCCACCUCCUACACCCCUCCCCCUACUCCACCUCAGCCCCUUAGGGCGAUUUAAGUAAUUUUCCAGACCUGACUCUGAAGUUAUCUUCCCAGCAGGAGUCGCAAGGGUGAGUGGUAGAGGGGUGAAGACCUUCAGUGACCAGCUAUAGUCUGAGCUGGGAAGGGACAAAGGCAAGAAGAAGGAGGAAAUGGGUCACUGCCCAUGGCUGGCAGAGCAACUGCUGUGCCUGAGCUUUUAUUCUGUGAACAAAUCUUUGCUCUCUUCACCAGUGACCCACAUGAACUGUCAUUCCCAACUGCAAUAAAGUGGGGCAAGGGCUGAGAAGGGCUGAGAAGGGCUGACUCCACAGCUGUGGAGUAAGAGUUCCCUGGCAGGAGAAGAAAGACUGAAAGACACAGGGCUUUCAUGGAGGCAAAAGAAACAAAGAAAGUCUGAGACAAGGAGAUUAAAAAACAAAAACAAAAAAACAAACAAAAACCUCUGAAAAGCCUAAUUGCCCCUAAAUGCCUCGACACCAAAACUUUGUCAUUUUUUUCUUUUUUGUGGCUGUCUUCCCAUUUUAUUUUUAAUUAUUUUUUUUUUCCGAGACGGAGUUCCGCUCUUGUUGCCCAGGCUGGAGUACAAUGGUGCGAUCUUGGCUCACUGCAACCUCUGCCUCCCAGGUUCAGACGAUUCUCCUGCCUCAGUCUCCCGAAAAGCUGGGAUUACAGGCGUGCGCCACCAUGCCUGGCUAAUUUUUGCAUUUUUAGGAGUGACGGGGUUUCACCAUGUUGGUCAGGCUGGUCUGGAACUCCUGACCUCAGGUGAUCCACCCGCCCGGGCCUCCCAAAGUGCUGGGAUUACAAGCGUGAGCUACCACACCCAGCCUGUCUUCCCAUUUUAAACACCCUUUAUGUUCCAAGUGAGGUAAAGGUGAGGAAUAAAAGGGAGAAUGGUUGCAGAGCCUCAUUAAGCUGGGAGCUAGGAUCACAGGAGCUAGUGGAGAUCUUGGGUGAAUCCUACUGUUUCUUGAAUGAGUCCUAGAAACGCCCGCUCAUUUGGCUACUUCUUCCUUUCCUGCACACAGGAAUUUAACAAGAUUCUUCUACAGCCUGGUGACUUUGUGAUCUCUUAGCCUUAGUCAUGUCCUCUUUCCCUCCCACCCUAGCCCCAGAGACUCUUCCUCUUUUCCUUGGCAGUUCGAGUCCCAGAGUGUUAUUUAUCAGUCAGCAGCAGAGGGCGAUCUGGCCCCGGAGAAUGACCCGGUCAACUCGGGCCAUAUGCCUGGGUUGCUAAUGACUUGCAGCUCCAUCAACAUAAAGCUGAAUUCUUCACAAAGGAACACUGUCACUAAGCUUUUUCCUUUUCAUUCUUGAAAGCUACACUGCCUUAGCUAACCCCUUCCCCCUCCCGCCUUCAUUCCUGCUCUCUUUCCUCUCCCAACCUCUUGGAAGCAGCAGGAAAUGAACAAGGUCCACAGUGGAGAAAAACAAAUCCCAGGGCCCUGCUGAGGAAAACCACAGGAAAAUGACCAAGUGGCAUUAGCAGCUGCAGGAGUUUUAGGUAGCUGUGUGGUGUGCGUGUAUGUGUAUGUGUGUGUGAGAGAGAGAGAGAAUCCCACAUAGCAGUACUUUUCAUAGUUUAGCAUAACAUAAAAAUCACCUGGCGAGCUUGUUAAACCACAGCUUCCUGGGCCUUACCCAGGAAUUCCCGGGGCCCAAGAAUUUGCAUUCUUAACACUCCUAAGGUAUUUUAAUGAUGCCAGUGGAGGACUGACCACAUUUUGAGCAGCACUGCUGUACACAAAUGCAGUGAAAUAGAAUGUAUAGAUCUGAGCCAGGGGCUUGCUUGGAUAACAUCCUGAUAUGAUGGCCUCCCCCAGAAGAGUCAGGCCAGAUCCUUCCAAUUCCAGGCCAGAAGAUUUCAUAGAUCAGCCUACAGCUGUUCCCUCCCCUUGAAAAAGAAGCAGAGAAUGUAUCAACAAGAGCAUUGUUUGGAGAGGGCUGAGCUCAGAUAAUAGGCUGGUUCUCCAUUGACUGUUUCUUUCAUCCCAACUGGCAGAAGAAUCACAGAAGGCCCCUCCUUUCCCCUCCAGCAGAGAUGGAUGCUCUACCUACUUAAAAAUCAAGAAUUCUUCUGACCUUGGCUGUGUCCAACAACUCAUGCCCAGAGGCUUCUGACCUGUCCCCUCCUUAGCACCCUCCAGAUCUGAGAACCUCCAGAGUCACAAAGGCCUGUGGAAAGAGCUGGUUAUCUUCAAGAUACCCAGAGGCGCUUGGGCUGAUUUAAAGGCACUACUCCCUUCUGUUUAUGCAGCAGAAGAUAACAAGACAGACAGAAGUGCUGCUAUGGUCUGAAUGUUGAUGUCCCCACAAAUUCAUCUGUUGGAAUUUAGUCCCUGAUGUGAUACCAAUCAAGAGAUGGGGACUUUAGGAAUUGAUUAGGUCAGAAGGCUACAGCCCCCAUGAAUGGGAUUAGUGGCCUUAUAAAAGAGGCUGGGGGGCCUGGCGUGGUGGCUCACGCCUGUAAUCCCAGCACUUUGGGAGACUGAGGCAGGCAGAUCACUUUGGGUCAGGAGUUCUAGACCAGCCUGGCAAACAUGGUGAAACCACAUCUCUACGAAAAAUAUUAAAAAAUUAGCUGGGCGUGGUGGCGCAUGCCUGUAGUCCCAGGUAUUCAGGAGGCUGAGGCAAGAGAAUCGCUUGAAUACAGGAGGCGGAGGUUGCAGUGAGCUGAGAUCGCGACACUGCACUCCAGCCUGGGCGUCAGAGCAAGACUCCGUCUCAAAAAACAGAGCUGGAGGGAGACUGUGAGACACAUUUAGAAAGCAUCAUUUAUGAGGAACCAGCCCUCUUUGGCAGCUUGAUCUUGGGACUUCCCAGCCUCCAUAUAUGGUACCAAUCCUUCUUUAGUUUUAGUGUCCAUAUCACAGAAGGGCUCAUGUUGUAAAAGAAGUCAAAAGCAGCCUUGAAUAAUCAGAACCCUUCUGCCAGAUUGUCUAAUGUCAAUUUGUUUUCUAGAACUACUGCUUCUACAUGUUCUUCCUCUUCAUCUGGCUCUGGUUUGGAAGCACUUAUCUCCAUCAAGUCAUCUUCUGUUAAUUCCUCAGGUGUGGUGUCUAUUAGCUUUUGAAUUUAUCCAAGAUCUGUAUCUUGAAACCCUUUAUCUCCCACCUUUUUUGGGACAUCCACAAUCUCUUUCAUGAUUUCCUUGAUUGCUUCUGUCAUAUAUCCUGAUAAGUCAUGCACAACAUCUGGACACAGUUUUCUCCAGCAGGAAUUUAUUGUUUUGGGCUUGAUGGCUUUCAUAGCUUUUUCUGUAACAAUGAUGAUGUCUUCAAUGGUGUAAUGCUUCCAGACUGUCAUGAUGUUCCUAUCAGGGUUAUCUUCCAUACUGUUGACAAUCCUUUCCAUAGAGUAUCAUGUGUAAUGAGCCUUAAAGGUCCUUAUGAACCCCCCAUCUAGAGGCUGAAUUAGAGACAUAUUUGGGGGCAAAUAGACCACUUUGACACCUUUGGUGUUGAACUCAUGAGGUUCUGGGUGGCCAGGGGCAUUGUCCAAUAUCAAAAGAACUUUAAAACGCAGUCCCUUACUGGCAAGGUACUUGCUGACUUCAGGGACAAAGCAUCAGUGGAACCAAUCCAGAGAAAAGGAUUCUCAUUAUCCAGGCCUUCUUGUUCCACAACUAAAAGACUGGCAGCUGGUAUUUAUCUUUUCCCUGCAAAGCUUGAGGGUUAGCAGCUUUACAGAUAAGGGCAGUCUUAAUCUAAACCUGACUGCAUUUGUACAAACAGUAGAGUUAGCCUAUCUCUUCCUGCCUUAAAUCCUGGUGCUCGCUUCUCUUCCUUACUAAUAAAUGUCCUUUGGGUCAUUUUUUUCCCCAGAAUCAAGCACUUUCAUCUGCAUUAAAAACCUAUUCAGGUAGAUAUCCCUUUUCCUCAAUGAUUUUCAUAACGUCUGGAAAAUCAUCUGCUGCCUCUUAGUUGACAGAAGCUAAUAAUUCUCUUGUUAUCUUGACAUUUUUAAACCCAAACCUCUUUCUAAAAUUACCAAACAAUCAUUUGCUAGCAUUAAAUUCUCUCGCUUUAGAUUUCACCUUCUUUUUGCUUCAAGUUGUCAUAUAAUGACUUUGCUUUUUCUGGAAUCAUAUUAGACUAUAUACGUAUGAAUUUCUUAUAGCAAUACCGCACCAAUAUAAAUAUAUUGCACCAAAAUAAAUAUAAAAUAAAUGCAAUAUAAAAGUUGCAUUUUCAAUACAAGAUAUAAAGGUAGUUUGCAAAAAGUGCAAGGUUUUCAUGACUGCUGGUAUAGCUGCAGUGACAGUUUCACAAAUUUCCUUUCCUUUUUUUUUUUUUUUAAUGGUUCUUAUGCUGGAUUCAUUUAUCUCGAAAUGGCAGACAAGUACAAGCUGCAGGCCUCAAUCUGUGGAAAUAUCAAGCAAUUCAACUUUUUGUUGUAAUGAUAUAACUAUUCUGUGCUUCUUGGGAGCACUUCCAGCAUCACUAAUGGCACUUCAUAUGGUCCCAAGGUGUUAUUCAAGGUUUAUGGUAUUGCACUAAACAUGAUGAAAACUAUGUGAGAACUGAGAGAUCACUUUUUUUUUUUUUUGAGACAGUGUUUCACUCUUGUUGCCCAGGCUGGAGGGCAAUGUUCACAAUCUCAGCUCACUGCAACCUCCGCCUCCUGCGUUCAAGCAAUUCUCCUGCCUCAGCCUCCCGAGUAGCCAGGUUCAAGCGAUUCUCCUGCCUCAGCCUCCCAAGUAGCUGGGAUUACAGGCGUGCACCACCAUUCCCGGCUGAUUGUUUUUUGUAUCUUUAGUAGAGAUGGGGUUUCACCAUGUUGGCCAGGCUGGUCUUGAACUCCUGACCUCAAUUGAUCUACCCACCUCAGCCUCCCAAAGUGCUGGGAUUAUAGGUGUGAGCCACUGUGCCCAGCCUACUACAGUUAAUUGUAUGCAGUUAUGAUUUAAUACUGCAUCUCUAUAUUUGUUUGCAUUUAUUUCCACUGUGAAUGGUGCAAGUGUUUGUAAGUGUACUUAUGUGUAAGUUUUGAUUUUUUUUUUUUUUUUUUUUUUUGAGACAGAGUCUUGCUCUGUUACCCAGGCUGGAGUGCAAUGGCAUGAUCUCGGCUCACUGCAAUCUCCGCCUUCCGGGUUCAAGCAAUUCUCCUGCCUCAGCCUCCCAAGUAGCUGGGAUUACAGGCAUGUGCCACCACGCCCGACUAAUUUUUUGUAUUUUUAGUAGAGACAGGGUUUCACUAUGUUGUCCAGGCUGGUCUCGAACUCCUGACCUCAGGUGAUCCGCCUGGUGGCCUCCCAAAGUGCUGGGAUUAUAGGUGUGAGCCACCAUGCCUGGCCUCUGAUAAAUUUUAACUUUUUAUAAUGGAUUUAUAUAUCUUUUAUGGCAGUAAAUAAUAAAGUACACUAGUAUC
RNAcentral lists this long non-coding RNA (10075 nucleotides) under Homo sapiens (human). RNAcentral's name for it is "non-protein coding lnc-SLC16A1-2:4". Lineage: Eukaryota; Metazoa; Chordata; Mammalia; Primates; Hominidae. The record is from RNAcentral.